This 491-nucleotide ribosomal RNA is filed under the name uncultured bacterium. Its description in RNAcentral is "partial 16S ribosomal RNA". It matches the Rfam family "Bacterial small subunit ribosomal RNA", at positions 29 to 506 of the family's 1533-position model. The record is from RNAcentral.
AGUGAACGCUGGCGGUAGGCCUAACACAUGCAAGUCGAACGGCGGCACAGUAAGAGCUUGCUCUUACGGGUGGCGAGUGGCGGACGGGUGAGGAAUACAUCGGAAUCUACUUUUUCGUGGGGGAUAACGUAGGGAAACUUACGCUAAUACCGCAUACGACCUACGGGUGAAAGCAGGGGAUCUUCGGACCUUGCGCGAUUGAAUGAGCCGAUGUCGGAUUAGCUAGUUGGCGGGGUAAAGGCCCACCAAGGCGACGAUCCGUAGCUGGUCUGAGAGGAUGAUCAGCCACACUGGAACUGAGACACGGUCCAGACUCCUACGGGAGGCAGCAGUGGGGAAUAUUGGACAAUGGGCGCAAGCCUGAUCCAGCCAUACCGCGUGGGUGAAGAAGGCCUGCGGGUUGUAAAGCCCUUUUGUUGGGAAAGAAAAGCAGCAGGUUAAUACCCCGCUGUUCUGACGGUACCCAAAGAAUAAGCACCGGCUAACUUCGU